UACGUAGGGUGCGAGCGUUAAUCGGAAUUACUGGGCGUAAAGCGUGCGCAGGCGGUCCGCAAAGUCUGAUGUGAAAGCCCCGGGCUCAACCUGGGAACUGCAUUGGAAACUAACGGGCUCGAGUGUGGCAGAGGGGGGUGGAAUUCCACGUGUAGCAGUGAAAUGCGUAGAGAUGUGGAGGAGCACCGAUGGCGAAGGCAGCCCCCUGGGCUAACACUGACGCUCAGGCACGAAAGCGUGGGGAGCAAACAGG
RNAcentral lists this ribosomal RNA (253 nucleotides) under uncultured bacterium. RNAcentral describes it as "partial 16S ribosomal RNA". It matches the Rfam family "Bacterial small subunit ribosomal RNA", at positions 524 to 776 of the family's 1533-position model. The record is from RNAcentral.